RNAcentral lists this long non-coding RNA (2352 nucleotides) under Cervus hanglu yarkandensis (Yarkand deer). Its description in RNAcentral is "lncRNA (ENSCHYG00000014123.1)". Lineage: Eukaryota; Metazoa; Chordata; Mammalia; Artiodactyla; Cervidae. The record is from RNAcentral.
CUUAAAAGAAAUACACUUCUGUAGGCUGGGACUCUACCAAAAGCAGAGUUUUUACCAUGCCUCCAAUAUCCCUGUGAGAACUAGGUCUUAGUUUUUCUUAAAGAAACAAUGGGAAAUGAUUUUAACACUCCAGUUCAACUACCUUAACAUUUAAACAGAUUUUUAGAGGCAGGUUUGGAAACCUAACCACCUAAAGAAUUCUGGGAGAUUUUUUGUUUGUUUGUUUGAUUAUUUCUUUUUGUGGGUUUUUUUUUAAUGCAUUAUAUAUUAAACAAUCAUACAAAAAACAAAAAACCUUGUAAAUCUGUUUUGUAACUUACCUCACCUUUCUGUCUCUACCCAGAUGCUUCAUAUACACAUCAUCAGCUCAAGCUCAAGAUGCCUAAGCCCAUGACAGCAAGCAAUGCUUAUGAAGGGUCCUAUUGAAUGGCUGAAGAAAGGUGAUCAGACAUCAGAAUUUAUAGCAGAGAAAGCAGCUGUUCUGUUUUGGAAAGUCAUGGAAUUGCUUUGGGGUGGUCCUCAAGAAGCAGUCAACAAACCUUCAGGAUAAUUUUACAUAGUCCCUCAAGAUGGUUGAGGUGGCUGUAAUCUGGCCGAAGUUUCUCGAAGGAUGGACAGCACACAUACAGCAAAAUAGAGCAGAGUGACCAGAAACAGUGGGAGAGAGGAGCCCCACCUGCGAUCCAUCCACUGCUCCACCCGCCACUUCUUCGUCCUGCUGUGUGUGGCUCGGUGUUUGCCGCCAAAGCGGAAGAAAGGGUCUUUGUGAGCCUGGGAGCUCAAACAGGUGAGGGCAAAGGCACCUAAAGAAAGAGUGCUAAGAGUUUAGAAAAAAUGUUAAAAGCCAUGGAAUUCCAUCAAAACUCAACAGAAUGGAAUUCCAUCCAAACCACACAUCUUAGAUGCCACUGCUGAGAGUCAAGGGAAGACUGAGCUUAGAUCCCUACUUUUUACAUUAUAAUUAGGAAAAAGUACAUAGCUUCCUUCUUGUUUACAGUGUUUUCUGGCUACAGGAAAAAAAAAAUCUCUCAAGGUUUUGUGUGCAGAAAGAUGGCUUAUAUAGCUUUAAGGGUUAUUUCUUUUGCAAAGAAUAUGUGUCCUUGCAAUUUUAUUAAUUAAUUUAUUUGUGAUAUCAGAGGUUAAGCCCACGUUUGAUGAGAAUGCUGAUGGAUGAAGACAUGCCUGUGCUGCGAUUUUGGCCGUGGACCACGGUUCUAGAUUUUGUGCUGGAAGAUACAGACAAAGCAGAUACUAGGUCUCUUGGCAGAUAUUGUUAUUUGUAAUUGGGACACUUCUGGUUGCUUCUAAGUGGUGAGGAUUAAUGCACUGGUGGUGCUGAAUAAUGUUGCUUAACUUGACAACCUGUGAGUAGAGAUUUGAAGACUUGAGUGCUGCAAUGAGCAAGGUAUUAGUAUCACUUCUAAUUUUCUAAAUUGUGGAAUUGUGAAUAGCAGCUCUGACUGCAGAUUGCACAUGAAGGCUCUCAAAGGCAUUUUACUUCAUGCUCUCUGAGAUGGUAAAAUCAUGAUAAACUUUAUGCAGGUCCCCAAAAAAAGGGUAGAGUUUGGGUGACCUUUUUUUUUUUUCAAUAUAGCCAAUAUAAAGCCAGUUUACAACUGAAGAAGAGUUAAAACUCCACUGAAGAUUUAUCUUCUUAUAGGGUAAGUUUUAUGUAUAUUUUCCAAAAUUAUGUGCUUUAUGAUUUUGUCAUAAAGUUAAUGUCCAUUCAUUAAAAUAUAGAAAAUUAGAAGUAAAUAUGUCUGUCUUAAAGAGUCAUGUACUUCGACCAGUUCCACAAGCAGUGAGAGUAGAAACAGAGUUAGGAACCCAGGCAGUCUGAUUUCUGAGCCGAUGCUUUCUCUGUGACGUCACAGUUUAUCGUUCAGCUAAUUUAAUAUUCUUUUUGUUUUGACUUAACAUUGUGCCAAAAGUGUAUUUGAAGUGAAUCUUUCUUAGGGGGAGAUAGAUCAUUCUACCAAGUACCCCACCAGUGUUUCUGAACAAGUUAAAAAAAAAAUCUUAUGUCAGUGUUCAGGGUAAAGAUCAAAAUGCUAGAAGGUUCGCACUGUGGUAUCUGGACCCUGCUGGAAACACAGGGUUUUAUACAAAGGCUAUUGCAUCCCUCCUCACCCCUGGUUGGGGCUUUGCAGGGUCAGUAGGAAGAGGUGAUGACCACACCUAUCUUUAUUUCUAGAAGUCAGAGAACAGCUUAGUAAAUGUUAUCUGAGAAGGAGAUAGAAUUUUUAAAAUAUUAAGUAUGUUUGUAUGUAUGCCAGGUCUUAGUUGCAACAUUCGGGAUCUUUGAUCUUCACUGUGGCAUCCGUGAUCUUUUUAGUUGGAGGGUGUGGGAUC